RNAcentral lists this ribosomal RNA (229 nucleotides) under uncultured prokaryote. Its description in RNAcentral is "partial 16S ribosomal RNA". It matches the Rfam family "Bacterial small subunit ribosomal RNA", at positions 524 to 752 of the family's 1533-position model. The record is from RNAcentral.
UACGUAGGGCGCAAGCGUUGUCCGGAAUUAUUGGGCGUAAAGAGCUCGUAGGCGGUCUGUUACGUCCGCCGUGAAAACCCAGGGCUUAACCCUGGGCUUGCAGUGGAUACGGGCAGACUAGAGGCAGGUAGGGGAGAAUGGAAUUCCCGGUGUAGCGGUGAAAUGCGCAGAUAUCGGGAGGAACACCAGUGGCGAAGGCGAUCUUCUGGACGGAUACUGACGCUGAGGC